AUUCCUACGGGAGGCAGCAGUGAGGAAUUUUCCACAAUGGGCGAAAGCCUGAUGGAGCAACACCGCGUGUAGGAUGACGGCCUUCGGGUUGUAAACUACUUUUCUUUGGGAACAACAAAAUGAGCGUACCAAAGGAAUAAGUCGCGGCUAAUCUCGUGCCAGCAGCCGCGGUAAUACGAGAGCGACGAACGUUAUCCGGAAUUACUGGGCGUAAAGCGUCUGUAGGGGGAUAUUCAGGUCGGGUGUAAAAGGCUACGGCUCAACCGCAGCACAGCAUCCGAAACCGUUUAUCUAGAAGAUGGUAGGGGCAAGUGGAACUCCAGGAGUAGGGGUAAAAUCCGUAGAUACCUGGAAGAACACCAAUAGCGAAGGCAACUUGCUGGGCCAUUCUUGACCCUGAGAGACGAAAGCGUGGGGAGCAAACGGGAUUAGAUACCCCGGUAGUCCACGCCCUAAACGAUGGAUACUAGAUGUAUGCGGUCUCGACCCCGUAUGCGUCGCAGCUAACGCAAUAAGUAUCCCGCCUGGGGAGUACGGCCGCAAGGCUAAAACUCAAAGGAAUUGACGGGGACCCACACAAGCGGUGGAGCAUGUGGUUUAAUUCGACACUAAGCGAAGAACCUUACCCAGGCUUGACAUCCUCGGAACCCUCUGGAAACAGAGGGGUGCCCGCAAGGGAGCCGAGUGACAGGUGCUGCAUGGUCGUCGUCAGCUCGUGUCGUGAGAUGUUGGGUUAAGUCCCGCAACGAGCGCAACCCUCGUCGAUAGUUGGAUUUUUCUAUCGAGACUGCCCGGUACAACCGGGAGGAAGGUGGGGAUGACGUCAGAUCAGCAUGGCCUUUAUGCCUGGGGCCACACACGUGCUACAAUGGCAAGGACAGCGGGAAGCGAAGUCGUAAGAUGGAGCCAAUCCCUUAAAACUUGCCUCAGUUCGGAUUGAGGGCUGAAACUCGCCCUCAUGAAGUUGGAAUCGCUAGUAACCGCCGGUCAGCUACACGGCGGUGAAUAUGUUCCUGGGCCUUGUACACACCGCC
Molecule: ribosomal RNA, 1034 nt
Filed under: uncultured bacterium
Lineage: Bacteria
Description: bacterial SSU rRNA
Rfam family: Bacterial small subunit ribosomal RNA
Source: RNAcentral